This 253-nucleotide ribosomal RNA is filed under the name uncultured bacterium. Its description in RNAcentral is "partial 16S ribosomal RNA". It matches the Rfam family "Bacterial small subunit ribosomal RNA", at positions 524 to 776 of the family's 1533-position model. The record is from RNAcentral.
UACGUAGGGGGCGAGCGUUAUCCGGAUUUACUGGGCGUAAAGCGCGUUAAGGCGGUUGGCAACGUUGGUUGUGAAAUCUCAGGGCUCAACCCUGAAAUUGCGACCAAUACUGGUCGACUAGAGUGUGAGAGAGGAAGGUGGAAUUCCCGGUGUAGUAGUGAAAUGCGUAGAUAUCGGGAGGAACACCAGUGGCGAAGGCGGCCUUCUGGCUCAUAACUGACGCUGUAGCGCGAAAGCGUGGGGAGCGAACCGG